UGCCGAAACGCAUUCUUGUGCGUCUCUCGGAGGUUGCCUCCUGAGACUGAUGAUGGCAGGCAUUG
RNAcentral lists this non-coding RNA (65 nucleotides) under Candidatus Hatepunaea meridiana. Lineage: Bacteria; Pseudomonadati; Candidatus Electryoneota; Candidatus Electryoneia; Candidatus Hatepunaeales; Candidatus Hatepunaeaceae. The record is from RNAcentral.